GACGUAGGAGGCGAGCGUUAUCCGGAUUCACUGGGCGUAAAGCGCAUGUAGGCGGAUGUCUAAGUCGUGUGUUAAAGCCCCUGGCUCAACUGGGGGAGGUCAUGCGAGACUGGAUGACUUGAGGGCAACAGAGGCACGUGGAACUCCCGGUGUAGCGGUGGAAUGCGUAGAGAUCGGGAAGAACACCCGUGGCGAAGGCGGCACUCUGGGCCGGUACUGACGCUGAGGAGCGAAAGCGUGGGGAGCAAACAGG
This 253-nucleotide ribosomal RNA is filed under the name uncultured bacterium. RNAcentral's name for it is "partial 16S ribosomal RNA". It matches the Rfam family "Bacterial small subunit ribosomal RNA", at positions 524 to 776 of the family's 1533-position model. The record is from RNAcentral.